Otolemur garnettii (small-eared galago) is the source of this 107-nucleotide small nuclear RNA. Lineage: Eukaryota; Metazoa; Chordata; Mammalia; Primates; Galagidae. The record is from Ensembl.
GUGCUUGCUUCAGCAGCAUAUAUACUAAAAUUGGAAUGAUACAGAGAAGAUUAGCAUGGCCCCUGCAUGAGGAUGACACACAAAUUUGUGAAGUGUUUCAUAUUUAA